AUAGUAGUGUGACAUGCUCGUUGGGUUGUACUCUGGUGUUGUGUGUUUAAUUAUUAUUAAAUUACUUUUGGGUAACGGGGUGAUACACUUAA
Molecule: microRNA precursor, 92 nt
Filed under: Medicago truncatula (barrel medic)
Lineage: Eukaryota; Viridiplantae; Streptophyta; Magnoliopsida; Fabales; Fabaceae
Description: MIR2617 microRNA precursor family
Rfam family: MIR2617 microRNA precursor family
Source: Rfam by way of RNAcentral